Molecule: long non-coding RNA, 646 nt
Filed under: Rattus norvegicus (Norway rat)
Lineage: Eukaryota; Metazoa; Chordata; Mammalia; Rodentia; Muridae
Description: long non-coding RNA NONRATT004403
Source: RNAcentral
UCCUCAGGUAUAAUACAUAUAUUAAUAUGAUCACUGUGGGGGAUCCUCAGAUGAUGGUUCCCAAGCCAACCUGACCUAACCUGUCUCUCCAGGCCUCUGGAAUACAGAUAUACCAGGUUUUCACAUUAGACUUAGGGGGAGGAGGGCCAGGCAAGAGAAAAGAGGGCUUCUCAUAGGCUAGUAGGAGAAGAUAACCCCCACCUUGACCUCUGGUCUUACUUUAUUUUGCAGUCUUUCUCUAAAACCCACCCAUCUCAGCCUUCGAAUUCUGACACAAGUGCAUGUUUGGAGAAUAUGCUCGGGGAUGGGGGCUCAAGGGUUCCUCACACUUCUGCCUGUCUACACUGUUCAUAGAUCCAGUCUUCAACACACCAGCAUUAUGGUUCUGCCCUUUUCUGGAACUUUUCCUUUACCGGUCCCCAUCUCUCCUUUACUUUUCUCUAGGACUGGGGAGAUAGCUCAGUGGUUAAGAACACUGACUGCUCUUCAAAAGGACCCCAGUUCAAUCCCCAGUACCCAUAUGGUGGAUCACAACUAUCUGUCACUCUAGUUCCAGGAGAUGCAAUUCCCUCUUCUGGCCUCUGUAAUCAAAACACCCAUACACAUAAAUUAAAAAUAAAUAAACCUUAAGAAAAAAAAUCAAACA